GGUCUGUGAUGUCAUGUAAAAGGUAUGAUUGCACAGGUUGCCAGUCCAGGAGUUUGCAACUCACAGAAACCUCCAGUUCUGCCGUCAUGCUCCAGCAGUGCUAUGAUUGGCUCUGGAGGUUUCUGAUAAUAGUGAAUGUUGUCUUCUCCCCCCUCUGUGUUCCUUGAAGUGUUAGGCAUAUAGUGUAAACAAACAUUCAACAUUUAGUUAGAAAUGAGUUGCUGGUUCUGGUGUUUGCUCCAAGGUGCAUGAUCACAAUUUCUUCUGAGACC
Molecule: non-coding RNA, 272 nt
Organism: Protopterus annectens (West African lungfish)
Lineage: Eukaryota; Metazoa; Chordata; Ceratodontiformes; Protopteridae
Product: small Cajal body-specific RNA 6
Exons: 1
Source: RefSeq, a predicted model, not a curated record